UACGAUUCUCGACGAACUUUCAUAUUUUGAAGAUAUGAAUAAUUGUAUCAUAUCAUUGCAUGUUGACAACUACAAAUAUUUACACUCUGGAGUUUUUAAGAACUUAAGUUUUUUGUUGUAAUAAAUGAGAUAUAGGAAAUUCAAAAAGUGAAAAAAUAAACUAAAAAAAAGAAGUUAAGAUUGAAAUGUUAGCGGAAAAAUGGGC
RNAcentral lists this long non-coding RNA (205 nucleotides) under Solanum tuberosum (potato). RNAcentral describes it as "long non-coding RNA (STUB_LNC009250)". Lineage: Eukaryota; Viridiplantae; Streptophyta; Magnoliopsida; Solanales; Solanaceae. The record is from RNAcentral.